CGGAGCGGCUGAGCAUGGAGCUGGGCCGGAGGGAGUCCCGCUGCAGCGGGCUGCGGCUGGCGCUGCGCUGCAGGUGACGCGGGGACAGGGGGACAAGGGGACAGGGAUGGGGACAGGGAUGGGGACAGGGAUGGGGACAGUCCCCCUGAGCCCCUCGUUCCCCAGCGAGCGCUGCAGGGAGGCCUACGCCGCCCUCCUGGACCUGGUGCGGGCAAAGGUGGCACCGGAGGGAACCGCAGCGGAACCGAGCCCGGGACACGCACCGGGACCCGACCCUGCCACACCGGAGCCGGGACCCGGCCCCGCCACACCGGAGCCCGCGGAGCCGGACAGCCGUGAGGACCCCGCGGACAGCCCCGGGGCUCACAGCUCCCGGGAGAUGGAGGAGGGAGCUCUGCGGGAACUCAUCCGGCGGCUCCGCGCCGAGCAGGCGGCGGUGGAGGGGUCCCUGCUGGACGCCCCCGAGCCCUCGGAGCCCCCCCGGGAGCGGGACCCCCGAGGCCGGGCGGAGCGGGCGCUGCGGGAAGCGCGGGCGCUGCUGCCCGGCUGGAGGCGGCCCGAGAAGGAGGAGCUGCUGCAGGAGCUGGCCGUGCUCAAGGUGGGCUUGGGAUCCCUCCCUGGGUCCUUUCCUGGAUCCCUCCCUGGAUCCCUCCCUUGAUCCUUUCCCGGCUCCCUCCCUUGAC
Molecule: long non-coding RNA, 683 nt
Filed under: Chloebia gouldiae (Gouldian finch)
Lineage: Eukaryota; Metazoa; Chordata; Aves; Passeriformes; Passeridae
Description: Erythrura gouldiae (Gouldian finch) lncRNA (ENSEGOG00005009472.1)
Source: RNAcentral